This 253-nucleotide ribosomal RNA is filed under the name uncultured bacterium. Its description in RNAcentral is "partial 16S ribosomal RNA". It matches the Rfam family "Bacterial small subunit ribosomal RNA", at positions 524 to 776 of the family's 1533-position model. The record is from RNAcentral.
UACGUAGGGUGCAAGCGUUAAUCGGAAUUACUGGGCGUAAAGCGUGCGCAGGCGGUUGUGCAAGACCGAUGUGAAAUCCCCGGGCUCAACCUGGGAACUGCAUUUGUGACUGCAAGGCUAGAGUACGGCAGAGGGGGAUGGAAUUCCGCGUGUAGCAGUGAAAUGCGUAGAUAUGCGGAGGAACACCGAUGGCGAAGGCAAUCCCCUGGGCCUGUACUGACGCUCAUGCACGAAAGCGUGGGGAGCAAACAGG